CAGCCGCCGCGGUAAUACGGAGGGUGCAAGCGUUAAUCGGAAUUACUGGGCGUAAAGCGCACGCAGGCGGUCUGACAAGUCAGAUGUGAAAUCCCCGGGCUUAACCUGGGAACUGCAUUUGAAACUGUCAGGCUAGAGUCUUGUAGAGGGGGGUAGAAUUCCAGGUGUAGCGGUGAAAUGCGUAGAGAUCUGGAGGAAUACCGGUGGCGAAGGCGGCCCCCUGGACAAAGACUGACGCUCAGGUGCGAAAGCGUGGGGAGCAAACAGGAUUAGAUACCCCAGUAGUCCCUGUCUCUUAUAC
This 301-nucleotide ribosomal RNA is filed under the name uncultured bacterium. Its description in RNAcentral is "partial 16S ribosomal RNA". It matches the Rfam family "Bacterial small subunit ribosomal RNA", at positions 509 to 807 of the family's 1533-position model. The record is from RNAcentral.